CCCGGCAGCGGAACCGCUCCAAUUCGGGCCCUCAUCCGAGGACUCGUCGGGGCAACCCCAAAUGACCCGGAGAAGCCGUAGGGAGGUCCGGGGAGAGUUGUCUCUUCUCUAUAAGCGUUCGAGUUCCCUGGAAUCCUCUAGGAGGGAGAUAGGGUUUGGAACGCGAAGAGCACCGCACUUACGGCGGUGUCCGGAUCUUCCCCUCGGACCUUGAAAAUCCGGGCGAGGGCCACGAGGAACACCGCGCCGGCUCGUACCCAUAUCCGCAGCAGGUCUCCAAGGUGAAUAGCCUCUAGUCGAUAGAAUAAUGUAGGUAAGGGAAGUCGGCAAACCCGAUCUGUAACUUCGGGAUAAGGAUUGGCUCUGAGGAUCGUGGCGUGCCGGGCUUGGUCGGGAAGUGGAGCGGUGCCAACGUGCCGGGCCUGGGCGAGGUGAAGGGCGCUCGUCGCUCGGACCCUAGCUCGGUCCCGUGCCUUGGCCACCCACGGACCUUCCUUGCUGCGAGCCUCCCGGCUGUCAAGUUGCUGGGCUCGCCCAGUGGACGGGCCGGAAGGCUCUUCGGCCGCCAUAGAACGAUCAACUUAGAACUGGCACGGACCAGGGGAAUCCGA
Molecule: ribosomal RNA, 611 nt
Filed under: Maccevethus errans
Lineage: Eukaryota; Metazoa; Arthropoda; Insecta; Hemiptera; Rhopalidae
Description: partial large subunit ribosomal RNA
Rfam family: Eukaryotic large subunit ribosomal RNA
Source: RNAcentral